Molecule: non-coding RNA, 21 nt
Organism: Caenorhabditis elegans
Lineage: Eukaryota; Metazoa; Nematoda; Chromadorea; Rhabditida; Rhabditidae
Source: Ensembl
UACCAUGCCAGCACGACUAUA